Molecule: non-coding RNA, 28 nt
Filed under: Homo sapiens (human)
Lineage: Eukaryota; Metazoa; Chordata; Mammalia; Primates; Hominidae
Source: RNAcentral
UGAGGAAUGUUGGAGUUAGCGGAGCUGC